AUUGAACGCUGGCGGCAUGCCUUACACAUGCAAGUCGAACGGCAGCACGGGUGCUUGCACCUGGUGGCGAGUGGCGAACGGGUGAGUAAUACAUCGGAACAUGUCCUGUAGUGGGGGAUAGCCCGGCGAAAGCCGGAUUAAUACCGCAUACGAUCUACGGAUGAAAGCGGGGGACCUUCGGGCCUCGCGCUAUAGGGUUGGCCGAUGGCUGAUUAGCUAGUUGGUGGGGUAAAGGCCUACCAAGGCGACGAUCAGUAGCUGGUCUGAGAGGACGACCAGCCACACUGGGACUGAGACACGGCCCAGACUCCUACGGGAGGCAGCAGUGGGGAAUUUUGGACAAUGGGCGAAAGCCUGAUCCAGCAAUGCCGCGUGUGUGAAGAAGGCCUUCGGGUUGUAAAGCACUUUUGUCCGGAAAGAAAUCCUUGGCCCUAAUACGGUCGGGGGAUGACGGUACCGGAAGAAUAAGCACCGGCUAACCGCGUG
This 486-nucleotide ribosomal RNA is filed under the name uncultured bacterium. RNAcentral describes it as "partial 16S ribosomal RNA". It matches the Rfam family "Bacterial small subunit ribosomal RNA", at positions 30 to 507 of the family's 1533-position model. The record is from RNAcentral.